UCAGUUAACAGUUGACAAAUCAACAAAUCACAACAAUCCAACAAUCAACAAUUUACUAAAGUGAAAAACUUAUCAAACUCAAUCAAUCAAAAUGGUUUCAAAAGUUGUUCUUAUCUGUGUCCUCCUCAUCUCCGUUGGUGUUAUCAUGGAAGCUCAAGCUGGAAACAAGGGUUCAAACAUUGUUCUCCAAGGAGGAUUUGGUGACAAGCUCGUUCUCCAAACUGGCAAGAAAGGUAAAGGAGCCAAUAUUGUAAGCAAAGAUGGAUUCGGUGGUGAAAUUAUCCUUAACACUGAUAGAAGACGAUAAGUCAAUCAAAUCAAUGGUUAACGAGUUAACAACAAUCAACUGAGUGUCACAAUCAUCAACAUAUCAUGAGAAACUCAAAUCAUCUGGUUAUGUCUUUGAGUAUAAAUUAUAUUUAUUUAUUAUUCGUAAUCAACCCAAUCAAUCAACUGACCAACAAUUAGCCUCAAAAAUGACGAUAAACAUCAGUAUAAGGAUUUACCUUCCCUCCCCAACCUAACCCACUCUCUAACCAACACCCAAUCCCCACUAAAAUCUGAUCCUCCUAAUAAUCAAUCUUAAUUUUCUCAACUUUUCUUAAUCACUACAACUCUUCAUUUCCUAUUUAUAUUUCAAUGUGAACUCAACUCUCGUUUAAAAACCAUUUUGAUCAAUUAAACUAAUUAUUUAUUUUCUAAAACAAUUAUACA
Molecule: long non-coding RNA, 714 nt
Organism: Panonychus citri (citrus red mite)
Lineage: Eukaryota; Metazoa; Arthropoda; Arachnida; Trombidiformes; Tetranychidae
Exons: 3
Source: RefSeq, a predicted model, not a curated record